This 440-nucleotide ribosomal RNA is filed under the name uncultured bacterium. RNAcentral's name for it is "partial 16S ribosomal RNA". It matches the Rfam family "Bacterial small subunit ribosomal RNA", at positions 338 to 795 of the family's 1533-position model. The record is from RNAcentral.
CCUACGGGUGGCAGCAGUGGGGGAUAUUGCACAAUGGGGGAAACCCUGAUGCAGCGACGCCGCGUGGGUGAAGAAGGGCCUCGGCGCGUAAAGCCCUGUCAGCAGGGAAGAAAAUGACGGUACCUGAAGAAGAAGCCCCGGCUAACUACGUGCCAGCAGCCGCGGUAAUACGUAGGGGGCAAGCGUUAUCCGGAUUUACUGGGUGUAAAGGGGGCGCAGACGGCGAUGCAAGCCAGGUGUGAAAGCCCGGGGCCCAACCCCGGGACUGCUUUUGAAACUGAGUGGCUAGAGUGCAGGAGGGGCAGGCGGAAUUCCUGGUGUAGCGGUGAAAUGCGUAGAUAUCAGGAGGAACACCGGUGGCGAAGGCGGCCUGCUGGACUGCAACUGACGUUGAGGCCCGAAAGCGUGGGGAGCAAACAGGAUUAGAUACCCGUGUAGUC